GCAAAACGCGAAGAACCUUACCUACCCUUGACAUGUCUGGAAUCCUUUAGAGAUAGAGGAGUGCUCGCAAGAGAACCGGAACACAGGUGCUGCAUGGCUGUCGUCAGCUCGUGUCGUGAGAUGUUGGGUUAAGUCCCGCAACGAGCGCAACCCUUGUCAUUAGUUGCUACGAAAGGGCACUCUAAUGAGACUGCCGGUGACAAACCGGAGGAAGGUGGGGAUGACGUCAAGUCCUCAUGGCCCUUAUGGGUAGGGCUUCACACGUCAUACAAUGGUCGGGACAGAGGGUUGCCAACCCGCGAGGGGGAGCCAAUCUCAGAAACCCGAACUCGUAGUCCGGAUUGCAGGCUGCAACUCGCCUGCAUGAAGUCGGAAUCGCUAGUAAUCGCGGAUCAGAAUGUCGCGGUGAAUACGUUCCCGGGUC
This 424-nucleotide ribosomal RNA is filed under the name uncultured bacterium. Its description in RNAcentral is "bacterial SSU rRNA". It matches the Rfam family "Bacterial small subunit ribosomal RNA", at positions 954 to 1380 of the family's 1533-position model. The record is from RNAcentral.